This 253-nucleotide ribosomal RNA is filed under the name uncultured bacterium. RNAcentral describes it as "partial 16S ribosomal RNA". It matches the Rfam family "Bacterial small subunit ribosomal RNA", at positions 524 to 776 of the family's 1533-position model. The record is from RNAcentral.
UACAGAGGUCUCAAGCGUUGUUCGGAUUCAUUGGGCGUAAAGGGUGCGUAGGCGGCGCGGUAAGUCGGGUGUGAAAUCUCGGAGUUUAACUCCGAAACUGCAUUCGAUACUGCGUUGCUAGAGGGUUGGAGGGGGGACUGGAAUGCUUGGUGUAGCAGUGAAAUGCGUAGAUAUCAAGCGGAACACCAGUGGCGAAGGCGAGUCCCUGGACAACACCUGACACUGAGGCACGAAAGCUAGGGGAGCAAACAGG